AAAUUGAAGAGUUUGAUCAUGGCUCAGAUUGAACGCUGGCGGCAGGCCUAACACAUGCAAGUCGAACGGUAACAGGAAGAAGCUUGCUUCUUUGCUGACGAGUGGCGGACGGGUGAGUAAUGUCUGGGAAACUGCCUGGUGGAGGGGGAUAACUACUGGAAACGGUAGCUAAUACCGCAUAACGUCGCAAGACCAAAGAGGGGGACCUUCGGGCCUCUUGCCAUCGGAUGUGCCCAGAUGGGAUUAGCUAGUAGGUGGGGUAACGGCUCACC
This 272-nucleotide ribosomal RNA is filed under the name Escherichia coli. Its description in RNAcentral is "partial 16S ribosomal RNA". It matches the Rfam family "Bacterial small subunit ribosomal RNA", at positions 1 to 269 of the family's 1533-position model. Lineage: Bacteria; Pseudomonadati; Pseudomonadota; Gammaproteobacteria; Enterobacterales; Enterobacteriaceae. The record is from RNAcentral.